GUGAUUUGACAGAACACAGUGAGACCGCAUAGAAAGGAGGAGGAAGAGAACAAAACGGAUGAACUGAUGCUCCACGGGAAUAAAGAAUGCAAUGUCAUGAUUUAACGACAACUUUCCCAGCAUUGAGCACCAAGAUCACAGUGAGGUUAAAAUCCAUUUGGUGAAUUGUGAACAUCAGAACAUCAGCUGAUGUUGAUGAACUUCAUCAAUCCCAAAGUUCUUUAGUGACGAUGAUGUUCAGGGCAAUGGGACAAAUCCUGGUGAAAAUUGUAGCAGAAAUCAGGACUCUCAGGACUCUUCUUCUCCUGCUGUGCUGUAGGUUUACUGUGUGAAGCUGGAGACGAGACGGUCACACUGCAGGAAGUGGAAGGAACCACUAUAACUCUCCAUACUGGGAUAACUGGGAUUCAGAGGGAUGCGCAGAUUCUGUGGAUUUAUCGACCUGAGAAAGCAGAGGAAAAUAUAUUGAUUAGUGACCUGUUUAAAGGAGAAACUGUUACAGACUUCAGAGAGAGAUUUAAAGAGCGACUGCAGCUGGACAGAAUCAGUGGAGCUUUAACCAUCAGGAACAUCAGCAGAACUGAUUCUGGAGUUUAUUUAUUAAAAGCCAUCACUGGACGUGUCUCAUCUAGGACUUUCAGUGUCAGUGUUUAUGCUCCAGUAUCAACUCCAGUAAUAAUAAAUGAAAGAGGAAAGCGAAGUGUGAUUUCCACAGAGUCGUGUUUCCUCCUGUGUUCUGUGGAGAAUGGAGAAGAUGUGAAGUUAUCCUGGUACAGAGAGAAUGAGAGAAUCUCCAUCACCAAUAACACAGAUCUCAGUGUUCCCCUCAAUCUCCCACUUCAAAUACAACACAAUGACACUAACACUUACAUCUGUGUGUCUGCAAACCCUGUCAGCAAUAAAACAACUUCUCUCAUCAUCACACAGCUCUGUGACGUCUCAGAUGAUCGUCCACCUUUACUGCUUGCUGCUCUGAUAUCUGUUGGACUUUUUGUGUUAUUAAUUAUAAUAUUAAUAAUUUUGGGGAUUCGGCUGAAAAA
This is a long non-coding RNA of Tachysurus fulvidraco (yellow catfish), 1040 nucleotides long. RefSeq lists it as uncharacterized. The transcript has 5 exons. NCBI's taxonomy places the organism in Eukaryota, Metazoa, Chordata, Actinopteri, Siluriformes, Bagridae. The record is from RefSeq and is a predicted model, not a curated record.